AGUCUUAUAGUUAAAUAGUUUAAUAAUAUAAAAUUGCAAAUUUUAAGAUGAAAUCAAUUCUAAGGCUU
This 68-nucleotide transfer RNA is filed under the name Cochylidia moguntiana. RNAcentral describes it as "tRNA-Cys". The record is from RNAcentral. Lineage: Eukaryota; Metazoa; Arthropoda; Insecta; Lepidoptera; Tortricidae.